GCCAAGCACUGUGGCGCACGCCUGUAAUCCCAACAGCUUGGGAGGCUGAGGCAGGAGGAUCACUAGUUCAAAGCCAGCCUCAGCAACUUAGGGAGAGCCUGUCUCAU
Molecule: small RNA, 107 nt
Filed under: Marmota monax (woodchuck)
Lineage: Eukaryota; Metazoa; Chordata; Mammalia; Rodentia; Sciuridae
Source: RNAcentral